This 253-nucleotide ribosomal RNA is filed under the name uncultured bacterium. Its description in RNAcentral is "partial 16S ribosomal RNA". It matches the Rfam family "Bacterial small subunit ribosomal RNA", at positions 524 to 776 of the family's 1533-position model. The record is from RNAcentral.
GACGGAGGGGGCAAGCGUUGUCCGGACUCACUGGGCGUAAAGGGCGCGUAGGCGGCGCCACAAGUCACUUGUGAAAACUCUGGGCUCAACUCAGAGCCUGCAAGCGAAACUGUGGUGCUGGAGUAUGGGAGAGGUGCGUGGAAUUCCCGGUGUAGCGGUGAAAUGCGUAGAUAUCGGAAGGAACGCCGGUGGCGAAAGCGGCGUGCUGGACCUCUUCUGACGCUGAGGCGCGAAAGCCAGGGGAGCAAACGGG